Molecule: long non-coding RNA, 6276 nt
Organism: Pseudopipra pipra
Lineage: Eukaryota; Metazoa; Chordata; Aves; Passeriformes; Pipridae
Exons: 3
Source: RefSeq, a predicted model, not a curated record
CAACUCCAAAUGCCUGUGUUAGGGGAAAUAAACAUGAAGACCACAUGCACUCCACUUCCCAGCAAGUGUUACUUGAUUUUGUCACCCAUAUUUUGAAUUUUUGCAAGGCUUGCUGAUGUUCUUGAACUCCACACACACCUACCCCCAUCUAAAUGCAUGGUACCCCUUGGUGCAGCAGUGGCUCAUUGUGUACUCUCUGUAUUUCAGAGCAGACAAUCCUGUCAGAAAUUUCCAUGAUACAGUGACAGCAGUUUUCUGAUCUCCUUUAAAUUGCAGAAUUACUUCCUGUUUUGAAGGAAAACUGGAAAGGAAAGUGUUCUGGAGGUGGAUUGGUCUGGUUCAGCUUUGAGAGUGGGCUGUUCAAAGCCACUUCCAGGCAGCUUCAGCUGACUACAGAGUCUUGGCCCAAGUUCUUCCGCAUGGGAAGCUGCUUUUCCCUGUCAGACUUUGUCUUCAAUUGAAAAUUCCAAUGACCCCAGAGGCUGUUCCAGACCUCAGUUAUGCUCAGUGUAGAAACAGGUGUGUACCUACACUGUAAAGUGAAGAGGCAUGAACUAAGAAUUGGACAACAGAGGAAAAUUUGGCCAGGCUCUCCCAGUUAGUCACAGGAUGAGUACAUAAGCUGCUAGAUUCAACUCAGGAGAAAACAGGAUAUGAAUGACUAGACAAAAAUGUUACACCUACUCCCUGUCAAACCAUAAAUCCAGUCCUAAAAGCUGGAAUGAAAAUCUACCAGUCCAGGCUCAAAAACCUCUCAAACAUUCUUCCAAUAUGGUGAUGAGUGUCUUUUCUUUCAUAUGAGAUAAGAAGUAUUGCCUGUGCUGGUAAGUAGAAUACUGAAGGUUGGAAUAAGAACUUAGAACCCGUCUGAGGCUUCUUAGAGGAUUCGGUGCAAAGAAAAGCUUGUUUGGUGUUUAUCCAAGGAUAAGAACAUACCAGACCUAUUUCCACUUCAUAGCUACCUUGAGGCAAAUUAUCCACUGACACAAAAUAUGGGAUCUCUAGUGCUGUUUUCACUGUUGCCAGGAUGUAGUGAAAUCCAUCAGCUCUUCAAUGGAAACACAAAUACUGCAGAACUCGGUUUCAGUCUGAGCCUACCAGACUCAUUCUCCGUAGCUUAAACUCAUGGUCUGAAUCUUCAACAGCAUCAGAGGGACACAGUUCUUCAUUUCAUGGGAACAGUUCUUUUCACAGUCUUUGAUUUUGUCUCACCAGUCUUUCGUAAAUAUCUUCUUCAGCCUCACGUAUCAUAAACCUGUAGGUGCAAACUAUAUCUGUAUAUCUAUAUCAGCAAUCAACACCCUGAUGGAGAGCGUUAAAACUCCAACUGGGUGAGAAAGGCUCCCUUGACUGACAAAAAAAAAAAAAAAAAAAAGAAGAAAAGGAUAAAUUUGUUGAAUAAUUUGAUUUCAGUGUUGUUCUGUAUUUUUUCUAACUGAGAUGGAUUCAACUCCAGCUCUUGGAGGAUUUUCAGUCCUGAGUGUCUUAUUACUCUUUCAUACUUGGCUGUCUAAGGGAAUGUGGUACCCUAUAUUCACCCUAAACUAAAAGAAACCACUUUCUAGAGUCAGUCUUUAAAAUCAUCUUUGGAGUCCUUGCAUGACCAUGGGAAAGAGGAGAGAGAGGGGAGCAGUGUCUUCCUGACUAGGGCUCAGAGAUGGCUUCAGGUGCCAUCACAUCAGUGAGACAUGAAGCAAAGAAGCAGUUCAAGGAAUGAUGUUGUAGAUGGGUGUGUUGUCACAACACCACAGGCAAGAGCUGGUCACUGAUGUAAAGCUGCAUAUGCCAACCCUGUAUUGCUGUCUUGGGAAAUAACAUGACAGGAUAAUGUAACACAGGCAUUGUACAGCCAGCAAGGUGGAAACAAUGCAGCAGCGAGGAUGGAAGGGAGAUGGGAGCUAAAGUGUUUCAGAUUAUCCUAUAGAGAACAAAUGUGUUUGAUAUACUAUUCACUCUGCCUCAUAUAAAAGUUUAAUGUCUUGGGGGUGCCAGCUCUGUACAGAUCUGUGACUGUAAUCAAGCCACGAGCAAUGGCUGUGUGAAAGAUCUUGGAAAAGUUUCUUGGCAUCUCCGAUGGAUGUGUUGCAAAGCAAUGACCCAUUUUUCAGUCACUGGUUUGUAUUUGAUAUCCAUGAAGCCCUACAAAAUAGAGAGGGAAGAGAAAUGAGGUUGCCUGAGCUGAAAGAAACGGCUGUGUGAACCAAACCAUUGUGAAGUUCUAUAUCUUGAUUGCUUCUCUCUAUGGAAAGCUUUGCCAAGUCUAAAAUAAUUUCCAUAGUAGUGUGCAUUGCUGAUAUAAAAGAGAUAGAAAAUGCAAUUUUUUUUUCAACUUUUCAGCUUGCAACUUCUUUCAACUUCUACAACAUGUCAAAUUCCUUUCAGGGUAUAACUUGAACUUGUUUAUCAGUGAUGAAAAGUGCCCAUUUGGGGUUCUUUCUAUCAGCACCCAAAGCAGAGAUAAGUUUUCCAAUGAACCAUUCAGAACACGCACUUUGAAACUACCCAUUCAUUAGCUGACAGAUUGUACCUGCAACAGACCUGAGUAAAUUCUCAACUAUUUUUUUCGAAUUUUUUCUGUUCUAAAUGGAUUUUAGUGGCAUCUCUUGACUCUUGUUGGCAGGAAUGGAGAUAUUUACCAUCUGUUCAAAUACACAUUGGCCAUGGUAAAAAAUUCAGACAAUUCCCCAAACAAAGAGCAUGGGGAAGCAACCAAUACAAGCUGCUGGCUCCUCAUACAGCUCAGGUGCAGACAGAGAACAAUGCAUUCAGGUGGGUUGUUGGCACUGAAAUGAACUCAUGAACUCUCAAGGGUGCUUCCAGCAGAAAUGAAGUUAUAAAAGUAUUAAUGACAAGAUCAGAAGAUAUUUGGUUCUGGCUUAAACAAUUGUGUUCUGUUUGUUUUAUUGUGUAUGGUGCCUAGCUGGUCUUUCUAAGGAGGUAUAGAGCAGAGAAAAAAGGAAAGGAGAUAGUUGCAUGGAAAUGAACUUCAGAAGUUGUAAGACCAUGUUAGAGCAGCUCAUUGUGCCUUUUUUUAUAUACUUUGCUCAGAGAAAGUGGCAAGGAAGCAUAUCAACUCUUUCAAGUCUUUAGCUGAACCUGCUCCAUGCUGUAGUCUUCCAGCUAUAGACUUUGCCCGUGAAGGGAGGGUGAAUUUUGGUCACACUCCCAGCAACCAAUUUCCAGACAAACCCAGCACAGUUGGUGGACCUGAAUCAAGAUUUGCUUGUAAAGAUGCCCAUGCUGUUAAGAACUGUAUUUGCAAGUAAGUGCAGGUGGAGAAUUUAGAAGGUUGCUGCUGGGAGGAGUGAGUGUCUCUCAGUGGUGUCUCUCCUUCAGAAAUAGCGACUGCUGCCUGUGCCUUUUGUGUAGCAGGGUCUCAGAUUAAGUCUCUGCCACUCAUUGUGUAUUUGCUUUGUGUUUUGCAGAACUUUCCAGCUGGAGUCACACAGUACGUUUGUUCCCCAUAGCAUGAAAUCAUGACAUCUUACUGCUUUUCCCUGGAGCAGAGUAACACAUUCAUUUUUAAUUGUUGACCACUAUAUCAAAAAUCCUAUUUCCCAGAGUUUAAUUGUUUUGCAUGAUGUUUAAUUCAUGGCUUCCCUACAGAAAUCAGCUGUUAACCUUUUAAAAAAAUAUAUAUAUUAUUUAGUAUUUAUUUAUUAUUUAGCAAUAACAUUUUUAAUUGUACAGGAUGAUAUAAUUUAUUUAUAUUCUCACUAUAAAAUUCCAUGUCCCUGUGCUUCCUCUCCCUUUCUCCCCCACCCCCUUUUUUUUUUCUCCUGGCACUUAUGAAGAACAAUAAGAGCUGUAGAAAUGUUACUGCAAGGGUUUCAAGAACAAGUUUUUGAAAUAAGGUGUUCUUACACAGGACAGCACUGAAGAAACAUUUAAAUCCUCCUGGAGACACUAAGCCAAUGCUUAAGAGCUUUUGGAAAUCAGGGCAUAGGUGAACAUAUUUUUCUUUCUUUCUGAAUAUGCUUUCUACCAUCUUCUUGCAAAUGAGCUGCCCUGCAGAAAAGUUCAGUGGCAAAACUCAAGCCAAACUUUCAGAGGAUUUGUAGAAACAGGAAUUCAGAGUUUCUGCCAGAGACCUGAUGCGACGAGUGAUAUUCAUCCAGCCAGGAGACUGUGCCAUCCAGAAUGUGUCUAGCAGAAUUUCACACACAGCAAAGUGCUCUUGGAAAUGUUCCAGGACAAUAAUUAUUGGAUACCAGGGAGCUGCAAAUAAGUGCUAAGAAAUGAGGAAGCACAGCACUUGCACAAGAUCUCAUCCCCUGUUCUGGCUGCACAGAAUGCCCUUUGCUUUGGCUGCUGUGGCAAAAUCUCCAUCUUCUCUUUCCAUGGAAAGGAUUGGGUGCUGGGAGAUGUUUUGUAGUUUGCCCAAGCCCUGAACCUCCUUCCAAACCCAGAGACUAGGCAGAGGCUGCAGGAGUCCCAGCCACCUCUCAUCAGAACAAAGCUUUCCCAUGAUGUACAAGGCUGCAACCCAAAUCCAGCUGCUCCCACGGCAACAGAAUAGGGUCCAACCCUGCAGGCAGAGAUACCAGAGAUGGAUAUCAGCACGAUUUGUAUUCAUAAGACAUACUGAUGUUGCGAAUGAAUUAACCAAGGAACAUAAUGCUUCACUGCCAACUAAGAGCUAAUCCUUGAAGUUUAGUGCUAUUACACUUAACUUAUUUCAGUUGGAGCUCAAACCAUGACACAUAGAAGAACUGAUACCAGUGAAGGAGAUGGAUUUCUUGUCAAGAACGAGUCUCGCAAUUCCUUUGCUCCAAGGAAAUUUGAAUGAAGAAACAUUCAGUUUGGAGACAUGCCUAUUCUACUUAGAGAAAGUUAAAAAAUGGAUUGAGGAAAGCAGACAGAGCUAGAAAACAUUGCAAAGAAAAAUUAUAAUUUUUAAACACAAAAUUCAGGUUUAUGAAUUUCUCCAUGUGAGUUUUUGACAGUGGUCCAUCCAUACUCUUUGGGACAUUUCUUCUGGACUUUACACCCGAAGCUCUUGCAGGACAAGGAUUUGUCUUGCUUGAAUGGUCUAGAUCUGCUUGUGAUUUCCAGUGGGCUCCCUUGGUGACUUUUAGCACAUGCUUCUGGUGCUGGAGCACAAUCACAACAGUGACCCUCUUUUAGACUGGAGCUCAGUAAGAUGCGGGCCCUGACAUAGAUUUUGGGUGUGCCAAUGUUCCCAAAUCCCUUGAUCUAUGCCACUUAAUUUUAAGCAGUCAGUAGGACACCUAAGGAGGGAGCCUAAUUAUCCUAAGGCACCUUUCACAGUCAGUGAGGUGAUCAAGGUGUCACCAGCACAUGAACCUGAGAUGCCCUGCAGUGCCCUCAGCUGACUCACCUCCAUCAGAUACAAAGAGAUGCUUGGCAGGAAUGCAAACAGCAAAGGCAGCAGGGAGAGGCAUCACCAGAGCAGAGCUUCAGGUGAAGCUUUGUUCCAGACAAGACGCCUAUGGCAGUGGACUCAGCCAAGAGGGCACUGGCUGUGAGUGUGUAGCACAGACAAUGAGAGAAUUGGUGAGGGGAGACCUGCAGAAAAUCACAGCAACAAGGAAAAGAGACCUCCAGAAAUACAAUCCAAAUAUUUCAGCUCUGUUUCAGCAGCUGUCUCAGAAGACUCUGUUAAAGCAAGAAUUUUUGUGCUGCAACUUGUUACCUGAAAAAUAAAUUGGGAACAAGAAGAGGAAACUGAGUUCUCAGACCGGUUUAUCUGUAUGAGAGGCUGACUUUUUUAUGGACACAGAAUUUCAGAUUAACAAGUAGAUAGAUGCUUCUGACAUGUUUUAAGAGAGGCUCCAGGGACAGAGGUUUUGAGGGCAGUGUGUGUGUUUAAGUGCAGCUCCAUCAGCUUGGAUACAGAGAGAUUCAUUUCAAAUGAGGCAAAUGGGGAAGAAAUGAGAGGCCAUUUCUGCACUUGCCUUGGCCAUGGCUGUCCUUGUUAUCUGUAGUUCUGAGCUGGAUUCAAAGUGCUUAUUCAAACCAGUAUAAUCACUAUGAAGAAUGGCCAUUUCCAGCUUUAUUGAUUAAUUUAAUCCAGUAGGUAUGCUUGAGGAAAUAACCACAAGAGGUCUUAAUGUAAAAGGCAUAAGUACGUGUGUAAAUGUUUUGCUGGUUUGUGCUGAGAAACAUGGACUUUUUGGGACUGUGUCUUUACCAACAAGUAUGGGAAUUCUUUGAGCUUUAUCUUUUUUUUUCUGUAUGUCUGUCUGCACUUCCUAUAACUUUUUACCUGGCCAAAAAUAAACCAGAGUUUAAUUUCAGACUGGAAGAGACUAA